This 1961-nucleotide unclassified non-coding RNA is filed under the name Hevea brasiliensis (rubber tree). The record is from RNAcentral. Lineage: Eukaryota; Viridiplantae; Streptophyta; Magnoliopsida; Malpighiales; Euphorbiaceae.
AAAAGUGUCAAGAUCAAAAUUAUCACUGCAACUUCCAACUCACAAUUUCCUCUCUCACCCUCAAACGUAAAACAAUUCCAUCAAAACCCUAAAUUUGCCAACUGCCUCCGCCCUCAGCGGCUCAGCUGCCACUAAAUUUUCCGAUUUGCAGAUCUCUUUCAACUUCGGAUACUGUGCUUGCAGUAUAGAGACUCUCGUCAACCUUCAUCUCCCUCUCUUACUGCUUCAAAGAAAAAACUUUGUUCUCUCCGAAACCUAAAUUUCUCCUGUUCCAUCUCUAAUUCGGUAAGUGCAUAGAACGAAACCGAUAAAUGAAAGAUUGGAUUCAUUUCGGGGCAUCGGAUUCUUUUGGGAUUUUAAUGUGGUGAGAUGAGAAUUCAGUGGUUGGUUUCAAUGUUAGACUUGUAUAGGCGUUGAUUUCAAGUGGUCAGUUCUUAUCUUUCAUUGUGUAUUUCAAUUGGUGUUCAUUUUGAGCAUUGAAAUGUGAUUGGAUUGACCAAAGUUUCCUACAUAGUUCGAUACAGCUCUCAGAAAAGUUGGAGGGCUCUAAAGAAAAAAAAAAUGUAAAAGGGGAAGAGGGAUGGUAAUGGAGUAGUAUAGUUUGGCCCUUUUAUAUGUGAUUGAAAAAGAACUAUUGCUUUAUUCUUUGUGUCUUAGUUAUCCAUCGAAUUCCUUAAAUUGGAAAAUAAUUGGCUUGUUAGGUUAUUUCUUUCUGCAAUCUGAAAAGGAAACUCAAAGUCGAAUGGAGUAUAUGGGUCAGUAUAAAAUGCUUCCUCCAGAAUCUGGAACUUUUCAAGAUCGUGAAGAGCUCAUAAAAUAUGUUCGUGACUUUGGGGCUAGUCAAGGAUAUGUGGUAACCAUUAAAAAGUCUAGGAAGGACCGGAGAGUUAUCCUUGGUUGUGAUAGAGGAGGUGUUUAUCGUAAUAGGCGCAAGAUUGAAGAAAGCCAGCGUAAAAGAAAAGCAUGUUCACGGCUUAUAAAUUGUCCAUUUGAAGCAAUUGGUAAGAAGGAAGAUGAUUUGUGGGUACUUACUAUUAAAAAUGGAGACCACAACCAUGAACCUUUAAAAGACAUGUCAGAGCAUCCUUAUAGUCGUCGAUUUUCUGAAGAGGAGGUUAGGCAAAUUAAAAUGAUGACUGAUGCUGGUGUAAAACCGCGACAAGUCCUGAAAGCACUUAAGCAAAGCAAUCCUGAGUUGCAGUCAACACCUAGACAUUUGUACAACCUCAAAGCUAAGAUUCGUCUAGGAAAUUUAUCAGAGAAAAGUUUGAAGUCAUGGAGACCUAACAGAUCUGUUCCUGUAAACACAAGGACUACUCCCUCUGAAGGGUCGCUAAAGCAAAACAACCAGCCUCUGAAAGUUCCUAAUUUUAUUGGAGGAAAAUUUGUCGAGUCACAAGGGUCUACUAUAAUUGAUGUGAUAAAUCCUGCAACACAAGAGGUUGUUUCUGAAGUUCCGUUAACCACCUAUGAAGAGUUCAAGGAUGCAGUUAUUGCAGCAAAGAAAGCUUUUCCUUCAUGGAAGAACACCCCAAUUGCCACUCGUCAACGCAUCAUGUUCAAACUCCAGGAGCUUAUUCACAGGGAUAUGGAUAAGCUUGCAAUGAAUAUUACCUUAGAACAGGGUAAGACACUCAAAGGUGCCCAGGGUGAUGUACUUCGUGGUUUAGAGGUAGUUGAGCAUGCCUGUGGAAUGGCAACUUUGCAAAUGGGGGAGUUUGUUCCUAAUGCAUGCAAUGGAAUUGAUACAUACUGCAUUAGAGAACCACUUGGUGUUUGUGCUGGGAUAUGCCCUUUUAACUUUCCAGCUAUGAUUGCCUUGUGGAUGUUCCCCAUUGCUGUUACAUGUGGAAAUACAUUUGUUCUUAAGCCAUGUGAGAAAAAUCCAGGGGCCUCAAUGAUACUUGCAGCACUGGCUAUGGAGGCUGGUUUGCCUGAUGGUGUCUUAAAUAUUGUUCAUG